GGGAUCCUUUCCAUAAUGUUGUCAGACACUUAGAAUAUUAAUCUGAGCCUGUCAGGGGCGAAACAAGGCCUUCUGUGAAGGUAAAUACAAGCUGGACAGUUGUCCUAUUAACUUACGUUAUAGCUUGUUUACUCUGCUG
Etheostoma cragini (Arkansas darter) is the source of this 139-nucleotide long non-coding RNA. RefSeq lists it as uncharacterized. The transcript has 3 exons. The record is from RefSeq and is a predicted model, not a curated record. NCBI's taxonomy places the organism in Eukaryota, Metazoa, Chordata, Actinopteri, Perciformes, Percidae.